AUAUAGUGCAACAAUGAUUUCAGGAGUAGAUUCCUUAGUGCCUUUGGUGAGUUUAGCUUUUAAGAAGCUAAAAUACUUAAGAGAAUUAUAUGUAAAUAUGAAAGUUUUGUAUUUAGCUUUAUUAAAGUUGUGUAUAUGCUUAUGGAGGUUUGUUUAUGGGGUUUGUAUGUCUGUUUUCUUAAGUGCUUGAGAUUCUUGAGGAAAUACAUUAUACGAAAUAUGACUGCAGCUGGAAAAUUCACAAGAAUGUAAGUAACCAGGUCUGUAAAAUGUGUUUAAAUAUAUAAGAACAUUCAAAUUAUCGGAUUUACACGUUCAUUUAUUGAAUUAUAUACAUUUAAAGUAUAAGAUAAUUUUAUAUAUAGUAUCUAAAGGAUUAUGCAAAUUUUGUUAAAGUAUAAGCUAACCUAACAAUAAGUACAAACUGCAUUUAAUUUCAAACUAAAAAUUCUUAGUUUACUAUAUUUUUGCAAUUGUGUUUAAAAGCUCAGAAAAAAUAAGUUUUUCAAUUUAUAACUGUAGGCGAUUGAAUGUCAGUGAUAACACAGGCUACUGUAAGCAUUGUUUUCUGUACACAAAAGCCUCUAUGAGAUUUAAAAAAAAAAAAAAAAAAAAAAGCCCAACUGAUGUCAGCCUGGGACGGAUCUGAGAAAUCUUUCUGAUGAAAGUGACUCUGAGGCUGGAAAUAAGGAAUCUGAAAAAGUUAGCCAGGAGAGAGGAAUAACAAUGUGUAGGGGAACACAGAAUUUCAGUCUUACUGGAAAUAAAGGAUCAAAGAGGAAUCCCUAGGGAGGCAGAUGUCACAACUCCUUAUUUGGAAAACUAUCCAAGGGGCAGCUAAAAACAGUUCUGCAAAGUGCCUCCCACUUCUAAAGCACCAUCCACAUACUUGGUAUGGUAAUAAUGAAUCUAACUGCCUAUUCCAGAACUCUCUGCUGUGAAGAGGCCGUGGUGGGCAAUGCCAAUUGGAAAACAAGGCUGUGGUUUGUGCCGCCUUCAGCAGAACCUGGUGCCAGCUCUGUGGCUCUGGAAACAGAGCUCAAUUGUAUCUUCCACUCCUCUCUCUUUUUAACCUAAUAAACUUUUCUGACAGGCAAUGGCACCACUCAGGCCUCACUGCCCGGUAGCCAUAUGAUCUCCAUCUGCACUGAGGUCAGCACAUAGGCAUAAAUGGAAGGAAGCAGAAAGCGUAUCAGGAGGAAACACAUGAAUGGAAUAAAAUGUAAACCAGACUUCUGUCCUGCCGUUGGCCCUCCCAGGCUACCAGAGACUCUUCCUCCUGGCUGACCUCUUCUACAGAGCCUUCUCCUACAUUCGCUGGGGAUCAACCACAGGAAGAAGAAGCUACAGAUGUUUCCUCAACAAAGCACUCUGAACAGAGCAGAGUAAUGCAGCUAUUCUGGACUUGGAACCAGAAGACCCAGCUUCACAUUCUGACAAAAGCACUGCCAUGCCAUGUCCCACAAAGAGAGAGAAAAUGCACCCACAAGCAGGGGAGGGGCAGAGAGAGAGAGAGACACAGCAGCCAAAGCAGCCUCCAGGCUCUGAGUUGUCAGCAAGAGCCCGACGUGGAACUCGAACCCGUGAACCGCGAGAUCAUGGCCUGAGCCGAAGCUGGAUUGUCAACUUACUGAGCUACACAGGCGCCCUAAGUAUUUGAGAUUUAAAUGAUACAGGUUAAAAAUAAAAUUUGGAUUUUUAAUCCAAAAAAAAAGUAUGAGUAUUAAAAGAGACUUCUAGCAGUAGUAUAAUAGCAUGAUGGGUUGUGGAGUCAAAUUCCUGCAAAUUCAAGAUUUGGAACAGACUACAUAAUCAUAGGUAUCAACUUUUCAUGCCACAUGUCCUCAUCUGUGAAUAAUUCUUUGCACUGUUUUCCAGGGUUAAAUGAGAAGGCAUAGCAGAGCAUCAUGUUUGUUUUCUUUCCUUUCCUUUCUUCUACUUUUUGACAUGCUUUCUCUGUUUCCCAAGCUCAUUAAAACCUGAAAAAGGAAAAUUACCUUAGUGGAUCCAAGCAAGAGAUACUGGCAUGGGAAUAUCAUGGAGCCAGGAGGAGAAUGAAUUUUUCUUGUAUGGCAGACAAUGUUAAACUCUGCUUCUGCACCCACAGUCUGGGGUAUCAUUUGUACUCUCACAAAUCCACAAUGCUUAGUUUAAAGAAGUUUUGGGUGAUGUAAGAUUGACUUGACAGUAUGCAGUUGCCAUUAUAAAGAGGGAUGCAGGGCUACAUAGGAAAACAAUGUGUCCAUGACUCACUGCGAUUUUAAAGGUUUUUUUUUUUCCUGAGCUGACACUUACAAAGAUGUGCCUCAUGAGCUCAUGCCCUACAAUUUGAGGAAUGUAUUAUUAAGUCAACUGGUUGUCUUGUUUAUGCCUAUUUAUGGUUAUGGUACCUUAUUUAUGAGUCUGUGGUAUGAAUAGUUAAGCUUCCAUCAAUGAUAGUAGUUAGGCUGAGAGACUAAAGCAAUGACACACUUGCCAAGCAAAUAUAAAUGGGUACUACAAAAUUUUUAUACACAUGUAGUGGGAGGAUGUCUGGAAAGGCAGAAUCUGGUAUGUUUCUAACUCACACGUGUGUUGAAGGAACAAAUUCCUUGAAACCCAGGCCUAUUUUGCCAUGUAAAAGUUAUCAUUGGAUGUAACUCUCCCAGGAAAGAGUAAGUUAUUAUUAUUUUUUCCUUUCAGUAUAUACCUUGAGAAACUACUACAGGACAAACAGGUUGGCAAGGAACAAUGAAUGCAACUGUCUGACUCUGUGGGAGCAGUAAGGUUGAGUGUUCCUCUUCUCCCUCAAGAAGUUCUUGGCAUCAGGGCUAACAACUGGAAAUGAAUGGAAACAAAGUGCUUUAAGGGCCCCAGUGAUAGCAAUAGCCCAGUGUUCUUCAGAGUCAUAGAUGCUUUGUUUAAAGAUUUCCCAGAGGAGCAUCAGUGCCAGGAGGAAAACAGGAUCAACCCAAAGAAUCUUCUGUACAUGGCCAGGGUUAUUGCAUAGCAGGUGGGGCAACAUCAGUGAGGGGAGAAUUUCAUUGAAAAUAGCCUUCACUAGGGGCACCUGGGCAGCUCAGUCAUUUAAGUGUCCAACUUUGACUCGGGUCAUGAUCUUGCAGUUCAUGAGUUCAAACCUGACGUUGGGUUCUGUGCUGACAGCUCAGAGUCUGGAGCCUGUUUCGGGUUUUGUGUCUCCCUCUCUCUCUCUGCCCUUUCCCCACUCUCACUCUGUCUCUUUCUCUCUCUUUAAAUAAGCACUAAAAAAAAAAAAAAAAAAAAGAAAAAAAAAAAGAAAAGAAAAGAAAAGAGAAAAGAAAAGAAAAGAAAAGAGCCUUCACUUUCGGCCAUAAAGCAUGACCCAGCAGAGCGAAUUUAUGGAGGUAGUUUUGACAAACUCCAGUUUCAAGGUGAAGCUCUUCCUUACAGGAUAUGAUGAAUAUGUGUAAGCUCUCUGGGCAAUUAGGAUUACCAUAAAGAAGAUGACUACAAGGGAGGAGAGAAGCUUAUUAUCGUGAAGGGCAGGUCAGUAUGAAGCCUUAAUCUGGUUUUGAUUUGAAUAACAUAGGACCUUACUUGUUCCCUUCUUUCAAGUGAGUUAAAGGGAUUAUCCUACUAGGUGUGAUUAAGAAUAUAGUGAGAUGAAUCUUAAACUAUUAGCUCAGUUGUGCAAGAUACCAUAUUUCUUUUAUUUAAGAAAAAUCAACUUAUCCUACUUUGUCCCUGGUUUCCAAAUCAAAACUUAUUUUGUUACACAGAAGAAAAAAGUCUGCUUUGGAGAGAGAAUUGAACUUGGGUCACCUUGAACUCUAAGAAAAUAUGGUCAUAAUUCUACAAAGAAAUAAAACACCAUACAUAUGCUAAAUUGUAGUCACUCUUGUCACUCAACAUAUUAGCCCCUAAUAAUAAUAUUGAAGAAUGCAUACAAGGUAGGCUACUGAUUUUUAAAAAUAAUCAUACUGGGUGUCUUGGUUAAGCAUUGACUUCGGCUCAGGUCAUGAUCUCGUGGUUCAUGAGUUUGAGCCCUGUGUUGGGCUUUGUGCUGACAGCUCAGAGCCUGAAGCCUGCUUCAGAUUCUGUGUCUCCCUCUCUCUCUCUGCACCUCCCUCCCACUCUGUCUCUCUCUCUUUCUCUCUUUCUCUCUCUCUCAAAAAUAAAUAAACAUUUUAGCCUCUCUGACCAGUGUGAGGCUGUAUCUCAGUGCAGCUUU
Molecule: long non-coding RNA, 4192 nt
Organism: Panthera uncia (snow leopard)
Lineage: Eukaryota; Metazoa; Chordata; Mammalia; Carnivora; Felidae
Exons: 3
Source: RefSeq, a predicted model, not a curated record